Molecule: long non-coding RNA, 698 nt
Organism: Syngnathus acus (greater pipefish)
Lineage: Eukaryota; Metazoa; Chordata; Actinopteri; Syngnathiformes; Syngnathidae
Exons: 7
Source: RefSeq, a predicted model, not a curated record
GCUGGUAGGAGGCGCGCGACGACUGCAACCUCCACGAUGCCCAUCUGCUCACUAUCACGGACUCUCACGAGCAGGCCUUUGUGCACGGUCACAGCAAGGCCGUGCUCACCACUCCCUCGCUGUGGCUGGACGCCGACGCCCCCUUCGCCGAGAGCGGCGGCCGGUGGGCCGACGGCUCCCCGUUCAGCUACGUCCACCUGAGCGCCGGUCACCAUGGCGACAAAGUUGGGGGACGCUGCCUUUCCUUUCUCAUUGACAACGGCGACUGGAAAUUUGACGUGUGCGAGAUCAAGAGAGGCUACAUCUGCAAGAGAAGAGCGGCGACAGCGCAACAAGCUCCGCUGCCUCACGCCGGUUUCCUCAAGCAAGAGAUAUGCGAGAACGCCGACAACCGAGCCAUUUGCCCCGAAGACAGAGUCAUGCGCAUCCAGUCGGCCUUCUACGGACGGAGGAGCAGCAACGUCUGCUCGGCCCAACGCGGCUCAGACGCCAAAUGUACGGUGGAAGGUGCCCUCCUUCACUACAGGAAAGAGUGCGACAACUGCCACCAGUGCCUCGUCAAGCCCAUGAAGGAGGACCCCUGCCCCGAGGUCUCCAAAUACCUCCAGAUGGUCUACACCUGCGAAACGGACGAGUGUUUUCACAGUUUAGGCAACACCCAAGGCAGCCUGAAAAAGUUGAAGCUGAGAGCCUCCUCC